AUUAAGAAAUUGAAAUCCAGACUCCCGGACUUUUGACUUACCCACUGUCAGACCACUAGUUAAUGUCAGAGCAGGAAGUAUAAGGUAAAGCUCUCUUGAGAGAUCAGAAUUUGCAGUAGAUCUGUGACUUAGAAGAUACAUACCAGCUGACUCUCAGAUACUGUAGAAGAUGGUGAGGAGAGAUUUGCCUGCAAAACAUAAACAUGGCAUUUAUUAGUGAAACUCAUAAUUUAUUAAAAUAUGUAUGUGUUUAAGUA
This is a long non-coding RNA of Homo sapiens (human), 257 nucleotides long. RefSeq lists it as uncharacterized. The transcript has 2 exons. The record is from RefSeq and is a predicted model, not a curated record. NCBI's taxonomy places the organism in Eukaryota, Metazoa, Chordata, Mammalia, Primates, Hominidae.